This 213-nucleotide long non-coding RNA is filed under the name Fukomys damarensis (Damara mole-rat). RNAcentral describes it as "lncRNA (ENSFDAG00000031195.1)". Lineage: Eukaryota; Metazoa; Chordata; Mammalia; Rodentia; Bathyergidae. The record is from RNAcentral.
CGUGGAAGAGCUCUCCUGUCAGAUCAUGACGAUCUACAGGAAGUUAGAGAAAAGACACAUUGCUGCUCACUGGCACUGUGACAUGUGAGGAAGAAAAGUCAUCAGGUCACGCUGCGGAGGACUCCAAGGCAGGACUCCAGCCACCACCGACACUACCGUACUGUGAAACCUCAGUGAGCACUCCACUCAGCAAACGGCCUUUUAACAAUAAAG